CGAGCGAGUCUGCCUUGAAGAUCGGAGUGCUUGCACUCUGUGAAACAAGAUACAGGCUAGCGGCGGACGGGUGAGUAACACGUGGGUAACCUGCCCAAGAGAUCGGGAUAACACCUGGAAACAGAUGCUAAUACCGGAUAACAACAGAUGAUGCCUAUCAACUGUUUAAAAGAUGGUUCUGCUAUCACUCUUGGAUGGACCUGCGGUGCAUUAGCUAGUUGGUAGGGUAACGGCCUACCAAGGCGAUGAUGCAUAGCCGAGUUGAGAGACUGAUCGGCCACAUUGGGACUGAGACACGGCCCAAACUCCUACGGGAGGCAGCAGUAGGGAAUCUUCCACAAUGGACGCAAGUCUGAUGGAGCAACGCCGCGUGAGUGAAGAAGGGUUUCGGCUCGUAAAGCUCUGUUGUUGGUGAAGAAGGACAGGGGUAGUAACUGACCUUUGUUUGACGGUAAUCAAUUAGAAAGUCACGGCUAACUACGUGCCAGCAGCCGCGGUAAUACGUAGGUGGCAAGCGUUGUCCGGAUUUAUUGGGCGUAAAGCGAGUGCAGGCGGCUCGAUAAGUCUGAUGUGAAAGCCUUCGGCUCAACCGGAGAAUUGCAUCAGAAACUGUCGAGCUUGAGUACAGAAGAGGAGAGUGGAACUCCAUGUGUAGCGGUGAAAUGCGUAGAUAUAUGGAAGAACACCGGUGGCGAAGGCGGCUCUCUGGUCUGUUACUGACGCUGAGGCUCGAAAGCAUGGGUAGCGAACAGGAUUAGAUACCCUGGUAGUCCAUGCCGUANACGAUGAGUGCUAAGUGUUGGGAGGUUUCCGCCUCUCAGUGCUGCAGCUAACGCAUUAAGCACUCCGCCUGGGGAGUACGACCGCAAGGU
This 872-nucleotide ribosomal RNA is filed under the name uncultured bacterium. Its description in RNAcentral is "bacterial SSU rRNA". It matches the Rfam family "Bacterial small subunit ribosomal RNA", at positions 63 to 894 of the family's 1533-position model. The record is from RNAcentral.